UCAUGGCUUGUGACAAGUAAAGACUUUAUCUACUUAAUAGAAACUGUAUAAUUUCAGUGUCAAAAAAUAACAAUAAAUGACAUUGUCAGUAUCAGGAGUGAUUGUUGAGUGUCAGUGAAGUUAUUAGUCAAUGUCCGCCUUCCUCAGACAGCAGUAUCAGACCAACUCCUUUAGAGUGUGUAUUAUCUGGUGCUACUCUGAAUGGUGGGCAAUGGAUUGACCCUAAUGGAACAACUUGAACAAUCUGUCCCUGCCCCUGUCAAGGCUCGAGAUCUAGUCAUAGAUUUUUAAUGUCCAUGUAUUAAUCCUUUAGCUGGCAGGCAUCCAGCUGUGAUUUCAAUGUAAUAUAACUGACUUUGUAUCUAUUACCACAUAAAAAAGAAGUGAGCUGAUAAAAACAAAGUAUGAUGGAUAACUGGAGUUGUAUGGCAAUUAAUUAACACUGAAUCAUUGAAAGCAAUAGAUACCAUGAAAAACAUAUAUUAUUAAAUGCCUUUUUAAAUUGAAUUUGUUGUCUUUUCAUGAUGACUUAAAAAUACA
Amphimedon queenslandica is the source of this 540-nucleotide long non-coding RNA. RefSeq lists it as uncharacterized. The record is from RefSeq and is a predicted model, not a curated record. The transcript has 2 exons. Lineage: Eukaryota; Metazoa; Porifera; Demospongiae; Haplosclerida; Niphatidae.